This is a long non-coding RNA of Loxodonta africana (African savanna elephant), 7853 nucleotides long. RefSeq lists it as uncharacterized. Lineage: Eukaryota; Metazoa; Chordata; Mammalia; Proboscidea; Elephantidae. The record is from RefSeq and is a predicted model, not a curated record. The transcript has 2 exons.
CGCUCGGUCUGCCCGCCCACGCGCGCGGCCCAGAGACCGUCCCAGGCCGCCCGGCCAGGAUCUUUGUGGCCUGCGCUCCCCCCGCCCCCGGCCGCCACCUCGCGCCGCGGAGGCCACGACCCUCGCAGGCCACUGGCCUCUGUCCGAGGGCGGGAGACCCCCAACCGGGAGCCCGAUGGCCGGAGCCCACGACCCACCCACCCACCCCCACCGGGGAGAACGGGGCCGCGUCCCCACGCCCCUCCCGAGCGUGCCGGGCCGCGUCCACGUGGUGUCCCCGCUCCCAGCGGGAGGGGCCGGGGGCUUAGCAUUCUGGCGACUGGAGAUCCCGACCAGGGUGGGGGCCCCGAACCCCAAUCAGUGCAAAAGAAAAUCCUGCAGGAAGAACCAAGGUGUGCGCCUCAACCGCGGCCUGCUUGGCUGUCCAGUCAUAUUAACUCCUUCAGUUCUUUUUUGGAUGAAUUAGGUAAUUUAUAGGGGUGUGGCCACUGGUUAUAAAUAACUCCCCCGUUUGGGCAUCUGCUGUGCGACAGACAGAGUCCUACGCUUGUUCCUCAGUUUCGUUAAUCUACAGCUACCCAGGAGGUGCAUAUUAUUAUCCACAGUGUGCAAUAAGGAAACAGGCUCAGAAGAGGGGAGUGCCUUGACCAAGGCUAUCACCGGGCAGAGCCCCAAUUUAAGGUUGGAUCUUGCCUGACCUCAAAGACCCCUGUGUCAGGCACCCCUAGAAGCCUUGAUGGUGCGAUGGUUAAGCACUCGGCUGCUAACCAAAAGGUUGACGGUUUUAACCCACCUCAGUGGGUCUCCGGGAGAAAGGACUUCGGGAUCUGCUCCUGUAGCCUAGAAAACCCUAUGGGGCAGUUCUGCUCUUGCACAUGGGGUCGCUGGGAGUUGAAAAUCAACUCGAGGGCACCCAACAAUAACGCUUCAUGAUGUUCCUGGGUGGUGCAAACUGUACCCAACUACUAACCUAAAGGUCGGCAGUUCAAACCCAGCCAGCAGCACUGCUGAAGACAGACCUGAUCAUCUGCUUCCAGAAGGAUUACAGCCAGGACAACCCUCUGGAGCACACAUGCGGUAUCCAGGAAGUGAAAUCCACUCCAUGUAACAGGGGUGCCUCCUACUUUGAAGUCCUUGUUCAUGGAUAGCUGCCUUUGAGUAGACUGACUGACUGACUCAUGGUGACCUUAUCUACAACAGAAGGAAACGUCUGGUCCUACAUCAUCCUCAGGACCACUGGCACGUUGUCUGGUCCUACGUCACCCUCAGGACCACCGGCACGUUGUCUGGUCCUACGUCAUUCUCAGGACCACAGGCACGUUGUCUGGUCCUACGUCACCCUCAAGACCACCGGCACGUUGUCUGGUCCUACGUCACCCUCAGGACCACCGGCACGUUGUCUGGUCCUACGUCACCCUCAGGACCACCGGCACGUUGUCUGGUCCUACGUCAUCCUCAGGAUCACUGGCAUGUUCGAGUCCAUUGUUGUGGCCAUUGUGCCAACCCUCCACGCCCCCGCUGGCCCUCUGCUUCACCAACCAUGACGUCCUUCUCCAGCGACUGAUCCCUCCUGCUGAUGUGUCCAAAGCAAGCAAGUUGGACAGUGUCCAGUUGUGAUCCAUAAGGUUUCCAUUGGCUAAUUUUUGGAAGAUCACCAGGCCUUUCUUCCUAGUCUGUCUUAGUCUGGAAACUCCACUGAAACCUGUUCACCAUGGGUGACCCUGCUGGUGUUUGAAGUACAAGUGGCAUUGCUUCUAGCAUCACAGCAGCACACAGGCCACCUCAGUAUGACACACUGACGGGGUGGUGGUAUUUGUGGAUAGGGUGGGAUUUGGGGAAUUCCCGCCAUCUCUUUGAGAAAUAUUGCUCACAGACGCUAAGCGGUGCCUGCCUUUCAUUCAGAGAGCUGCGUGUGGAGCUGUCGCUGAGCUAACCUGGGAUACGGGGGUGACUGGCACACAAUCCUGCCCCCAGGGGAGGAGCUCUCUGGCCAGGAGCCCAGUGGUCACCUACCAACCGCAGUGGAGUGACAUUUACGCAGUGAGAGGGUUAGGGUGCAACCCCCGGGAUGGUGAUAGGCUCUGGGCACCUCAAGACUCCCAGGGUCGUGUGGAAGCUGGGCUGCACGGCCGAGUGGGAGCUGACUCGAUGGGCAAGGCAGAAUGAGCUGAGGCUCCCAAGAGCGCUCAGCAACCCAGCUCCAUGUGCCAGAACUCCAGUCCAGAGGGCUGUCUGGAGCCCUGGAAGGGUCUCCAGGAUCAAGGGUAAGGUGGCCGGCCAGGUGAGAUGGGGCCCAGCUGUGGGCAUUGGGUGGGCAGCCUGCUGGAGCUGUACUGGGACCCGCAGCACAGGGGAGCAUGGACAUCCCAUGUGCGUGUUGGAAAAAUGACGUUGGCAGGGGUACAAAGGGUAGACUGUGGGUAGGGGGCCACCGAGGACCCUUUGGGGUCAUUCCAGCAAGAGAUGACAACGAGGACUGAGGGGAGGGUCAGCUGUAGAGACAGGGAGGGAGAGAAAGGUGCAAGCAAGCGAGGCUAAGAUCCCAUCAUGACCUAGUGACCCACUGAGGGGUAAGGAGCAGGAGGACCCAGAGAACGCUCAGGUUUCUGGCUCUGGUGACUUAGCGGCACUAACACCUAGAAUGGGAACUCUGGAGAGACCAGCUUGAGGGGAAGGAGGGGGAAGCCGAGUUUGCACUUGUCGGCCUGAGGUGCACCACCCCAAAGCCACACCUGAUGAAAGGUGGACAAGGUGCGCGUGAAGGUAUUCUGUGACACCUUAGCUUCUCAGGACUGCUGUAACAGAAACACAAGUGGGUGGCUUUAACCAACAAAUGUAUUUUCUCACAGCUCAGGAGGCUAGAAGUCCGCAUUCAGGGCACUGGCUCUAGGAGAAGGGUCUCUGUUGGCUUUGGGGGAAGGUCCUUGUCCCUUUCAGCCUUCGUGCCUCGGCUCCUUGGUGAUCUUCACCUGGCAUCUGUUUUUCCCCCUUUGUGAUGGCUUCUGUGUCCCAUCCGCUCCUUUCACAUCUCAAAAGUGACUGGUUUAAGACACACCUGCACUGAUACGGCCUCAUUAACCUAACAAAGAAAACCCUGUUCCCAAAUGGGAUUAGUUCCACAGGCAUAGGAGUUAGGAUUUAUAACACAUAAUUUUGGGGUCACUAUGAGUCAGAAUCAACUCGAAGACAACGGUUUUUGUUUUUUUUAAUUUUGAGAGGACACCACUCAAUCCAUAAUACCUGACUAUAAAAGGCCUGAGGCCAUCACAGUGGCUGCCACCCACUCGUCCCCUCGGGGAGUAUUUAUGGAGGCCUGGCGCACGGAGAACAAAGCUGAAGACACAAAGCUCGGGGAGCUCAUGUUUUAAUGGGGAGGGAGCUUAGCAAGUGACCAGUGCUCUGGGGGGCAUAGGCAGGGACAGAAAAUGGUAGGCAGGAAGGGCAAGGGAUGGUUUGGGAUUUCAUACUGGGCGGCUGAGGGGCCACGUUGAGAAGGCGAUGUUGGUGCAAAGACUGGAGGGGCAUCAGAGAGUCAACACUGUGAAGACCGAAGGACCAGCUGCCUUUUGUUUGCCUGAUUUUGAAGGUGGAGAAAAACGACGGCAUGUCGUACGCUGGUGGAAAGAACCCAGGAGAGGGGGAGCGAGGUGCAGGCGAGAGGGGACAGGGCCCAGUACGGGGCUCAUGGGAGGCCCCAUCCAGGACAGAAGGCAGGCCCCGGGGGCACAGGGAAAGGAAGGUGGGUGGGUAGGUGUCACGGAGGGGCUCUCCUGAUGGUUUCUAUGUUCUUUAUGAGAUAGGAAGCAAGAUUAUCAGCCAAGACAGGACAGGAGAGGUGUUGGGGGUUUGAGGAGACAGGAGAACCGGGAGCAUGAACAGACCCGAGUUCUGUGACUGCUGGACGGACGGCAUUCAGGGCCGAUUGGAGAUUAGCCAUGCUAGCUUUAAAUAAUCAUAGUCUCAGCUCCACCACCUGUCUGUCAGCUUGCUGUACUGUGGUGUCUUGCAUGUUGCUGUGGUGCUGGAAGCUGUGCCGCCAAUAUUUCACAUACCAGCAGGGUCACCCGUGGUGACCAGGCUUCAGUGGAGCUUCCAGACUAAGACAGACUGGGAAGAAAGGCCAGGUGAUCUUCUUCUGAAAAUCAGUCAGUGAAAACUCAAUUGGAUGAACCCCCCUCAAAACCAUUGCCCUAAAAUACUCUUUAAACCUCAAACCAAAAAUGUCUCCUGAAGUUUUCUUAAAACCAAACAAUAGGUUAGCUUCGCUAGUAAAAAAAGUCUGCCGUCAACAUGUUUUUUUUUUUUUAAUCUAUGUGACAUCUGUAGGGUCGCUACGAGUCGGUAUCAACUCGAUGGCAACGAGAGUUUUCUGUGAGAUCAAACUGACAGCGGCAACUUGACAGGUUAGCUGGGAACCUUAGGGGGGCAGUGAGUUUAUGUUAACGGGGAAGGAACAUCUCAGAGGAGGAGGCUCAGAUGGCUGCACAGCUCAAGGAACGUAAUCAGUGUCACUGAAUUGUACGUGUAGAAACUGUUGAAUUGGUGUACGUUUUGCUGUGUAUAUUCUCAACGACAACAGAAAUAAAUUUUAUUUUUUUUUAAAACCUAUGGAUGACAAUAGAAUAUUGUUUGAUGUAGUGCUGCAAGAUGACCCCCUAGGUUGGAAGGCGCUCAAAAUACACAGCGGCUGCAACAGUGGACUCAAGCAUCGUGAAGACGGCGCAGGAUUGGACGUUUUGUUCUGUUCUGCAUGGGGCCGCCAGGAGUGGAGCUGAAUUUUCAGCAACAGCAACAGUCUCAGCUACCAUUUACUGGUCAACCAGUAAUGCCAGGCACUCUGCUAAGUACUUCACGUGCUUCAUCUCGGUUCCCGCACAGAGCCGGCCUACGAAGGAGGUAGAACGUCCCCAAAUGCUUGAUGGAGAUGCCUGGUUUCCUUAGAGAGGCUCUGAGACUGUUCCAAGGUCUCUCAGCCAGUAAAGGCGGAUGUUCAGACACCCUGUCUACCACAUCCUAGAGACCGCACCACACUGCCUCUGCGAGAAGGCCAUAGACGCAAGCCACUGCUUUCCGGUUGCAAAAGAAAUACAUUCUUAUUGAAGAAAACUUGGAACAUAACUUUUGCAUAUUUUUUCAGACACUUGAAGUUCUGCUCUUUAUCCACUUUUAUAUUUUGCUCCAGUUGAAAUUUAUUAUUAUGAUUAUUGUUAGUUAUUGCCAAAAAACAAAAAAGCCAAACCAGAUGCUGUUGAUUCUGACUCAUGGCCACCCCGUGUGUGUGCCAUAGGGUUUUCAAUGGCUGAUUUUUUGGAAGCAGAUCACCAGGCCUUUCUUCCAAAGUGCCUGAGUGGACUCGAACCUCCAACCUUUGGGUUAGCAGCCAAGCACAUUAACUGUCUGCACUGCCAAGGAACUCCUUAGUUAUUGCCAUUUCCACAAACAUGAGUAAAUACAAUGCUAACCGCCAUGUGCAGAUGUCUUCUCUGGGAAGACCUGUCACCUGGGUGGCUGUCACUGUCGUCUAGACCUCAACAGCUGCCCCUGAUUCUACCUCAGGGACAGCUAGAGGCCAUCAAAGAAGGCUCGUGUUCUUCUCACACGCUAGUAGUGCUCGUAGGUCAUCAUAUGAGCUUCUUGGUACAUUCAAGAAGCUACUGUCUCACAUGGUUAGGAUUAUGGUGGGGGCGGGGAGAAGCAAAUUGUGAUUUUUCAGGCCCAUUGCUGGUCCUGUAAGGAUCCCAGUCUUCUUCUCUCAGCCAUUAUUCUAUUUUGGCAACAGUGCAGGGGCCUCAGUUCUCCUUCAGGCCACAGAGAGAGAGAAAAAGGAAAACAAGGCUGAGAUUGUGUUUUCAUGGGGCCUUGGUUUUGUGAAACAAGAAGACUGCAGUGGGGAGUGAGCUUCAAGAAGGACAGAGAUAACCAUGGCCAAGUGACAGAGAGAAGAAGACACUAAGGCCCCCGAUACAACGUCCCUCCCUCUCUCCUCUUCCCCUCGCUACCUUCUCCUUCCCGUUGGGCCCACCUUCCUCCUUUCCCUACCUGGCACAGUGCAGGGGCUCUUACCUGCUUCUUGCACUGUGGUCAUGGCUGGCUCCUGUGAGGCGCUCAGAGGUGGUGGGAGGGAGCCUGAGGAUGGGGCUGGGCAAAGCCCUCUUAUGCUCCAGCAGAAGAUGGGCAGCGACCGGCAUGAAGGACCAGGACAGAGCGAGAAGGCCACAGGCGAGGAGCCAUCGCGGGCGUGGGAGGCCGGAAGGAACUGGGAAGGGCAGGCCUCCGCGGGGGACAGAAUGCUGCCUCACAAUCCCGCCCUGCCCCAAGAUUCUCAGGUUCUGAGUCUGGAGUCCUCACAGUGGAAGCAGCUCACUGGGCCACAGUGUGGAACGUUCCGGAAAGAAGCCCAUUUAAUACCACUGCCCAGGGGAUCCUGAAUAAAAAUCACGACUUGUGAGAGGCAAGGAUGUCAGAGCAAGCCACGUUAAGACAAAAUGCAACAAGGCACCAGAGACAACCCUGUUUCAGGCUUUUUCCAGUGACCCUAGAAAGUGUUACUGGAGACAGGUGAGGUAAGGAGCCCCAAUGGUGUCCUCAUCCCUGAGAAGGCAAGAGUAGCCCCCUAAAUUACCACAAGCCAAGCCCUCAUCAAAUAAGGCAGUCAUUCAUUCAUUUUUGUGAGCCUUCCCCCUUAGUUUCGUAGAACAAAGUUGUUCUUCUGUUUCCAUUGUAGAUCUAAGAAAAGGGGUAUGUAUUUCUCCACCUCUGCCAGGGGAACGGGGUACCUCCAGGGGCUGUGUGUAAAGCUGGUGUCAGGAUCCAGGAGAGCAAGGGCCAGUGGAGGUGCCCAGUGGGAGAGGCUACCUCCCAUCCGGGGGGCCAGGGUGAAUCUUGUGUCCAUGGACUGUCGUCCCUAAGCUGGGUGUACUAGUGUCCUAGGGACGCCGUAACAGAGUACCAAACACAGAAAUGUAUUCUCUCACACUUCUGGAAACUAGAAAUCCAAAAUCAAGGUGUUGGCAGGAUUGGUUCCUUCUGGAGGCUCUGAGGGAGAAUCUUCCAUGCCUCUCUCCCAGCUUCUGGUGGUUGCCGGUAAUUCUCAGCAUUCCUUGGCUUGUAGCCUCAUCACUCCAAUCUCCGCCUCCAUCUUCACAUGUUCUUCUUAUAAGGACCAGUCAUUGGAUUGAGGGCUUCAGUAUGACCUCACCUGUAACUAAUUACAUCUGCAAAGACCCUAUUUCCAAAUAAGGUCACAUUCUGAGGUUCCUGGUAGACAUGAAUUUUGGGGAAACACUCUUCAACCCAGUAUACUGGGUAAAACAAGUACUUAAUCCUGGCUGCUACAGGUUAAAAAUAACAAGUCCCAGUAUGGUGAGAGUAUCUGGGGUCUUAAAAGCUUAUGAGUGGCCAGCUAAUAUCUAACUAUUGGUCUUUAUUCAUCUGGAAUAAAAGAGAAAGAAGGAAACUCAAGAAUCAGAGACGGAACUGGACUAGAGGACUAAUUGUUUCCAUGAACCAAUGCCUCCUCCACCUUGAGAUCAGAAGAACUAGAUGGUGCCCAGCUACCACUACUGAAAAUUCUGAUCAGGAACACAAUAGAUGAAUCCUGAUAAAAAGGUAGAAAUAUGUGGAACAGAACUUUAAACUCUUAAAGAAUUCGGACUUACUGGACCUACUGAGGCUGGAGGAGUCCCCGAGACUAUGGCUCCGAGUUGCUCUUCAAACCUUGAGUUGAAACUAUCCCCUAAAGUCACCUUUUAACUAAGUAACAAUUUGGCCUGAACAGUAAAGAUUGUCACGCUUGAUUGCUGCAUUUCUUAAAAAAAAAAAAUUAUUAUAUAAGACCAGAAGGUCAACAGCUA